RNAcentral lists this ribosomal RNA (497 nucleotides) under uncultured bacterium. Its description in RNAcentral is "partial 16S ribosomal RNA". It matches the Rfam family "Bacterial small subunit ribosomal RNA", at positions 28 to 507 of the family's 1533-position model. The record is from RNAcentral.
GAUCAACGCUGGCGGCGUGCCUAAUACAUGCCAGUCGAGCGAACAGACGAGGAGCUUGCUCCUCUGACGUUAGCGGCGGACGGGUGAGUAACACGUGGAUAACCUACCUAUAAGACUGGGAUAACUUCGGGAAACCGGAGCUAAUACCGGAUAACAUGUUGAACCGCAUGGUUUAACAGUGAAAGACGGUCUUGCUGUCACUUAUAGAUGGAUCCGCGCCGCAUUAGCUAGUUGGUAAGGUAACGGCUUACCAAGGCAACGAUGCGUAGCCGACCUGAGAGGGUGAUCGGCCACACUGGAACUGAGACACGGUCCAGACUCCUACGGGAGGCAGCAGUAGGGAAUCUUCCGCAAUGGGCGAAAGCCUGACGGAGCAACGCCGCGUGAGUGAAGAAGGUCUUCGGAUCGUAAAACUCUGUUAUUAGGGAAGAACAAAUGUGUAAGUAACUAUGCACGUCUUGACGGUACCUAAUCAGAAAGCCACGGCUAACUACGUG